ACAUCAUUAUCUUUCAUAUAAAAAUAUGUACUUUAGAUCUAAAAAUAAAAAUCGGAUCGAUCUCAUCGAUGCUGAAAUUCUAAAUCUAACUAUUAGAUCUAUCAUAAAAAUCAAAACAAGUUAGAGAUCAUUACCAAAUAAAUUUGAUCUUGAUCUCCUCAGGUCCAAUGAUUGGAGAAGAUGUUCUUCAGAUCACUUACAGCCACACAGAAUCAUCUGGCCUC
RNAcentral lists this long non-coding RNA (224 nucleotides) under Elaeis guineensis (African oil palm). RNAcentral describes it as "long non-coding RNA (EGUI_LNC080563)". Lineage: Eukaryota; Viridiplantae; Streptophyta; Magnoliopsida; Arecales; Arecaceae. The record is from RNAcentral.